GACAUAGGUGGCGAACGUUAUCCGGAUUUAUUGGGCGUAAAGGGUGCGUAGAUGUUAUUAUAAGUUAUUAGUAGAAAAUAGAAGCUCAACUUCUGGCAGCUAAUAAUACUAUAAUAAUUGAGGGCAGAGGAGGUUGACGGAAUUCUGUGUGGAGCGGUGAAAUGCUUAGAUAUACAGAGGAACACCGAAAUAGGCGAAGGCAGUUAACUAUUCUGUUCCUGACAUUGAGGCAUGAAAGCGUGGGGAGCAAAACGG
Molecule: ribosomal RNA, 255 nt
Filed under: uncultured bacterium
Lineage: Bacteria
Description: partial 16S ribosomal RNA
Rfam family: Bacterial small subunit ribosomal RNA
Source: RNAcentral